CCUAUAAGACUGGGAUAACUUCGGGAAACCGGAGCUAAUGCCGGAUAACAUAUAGAACCGCAUGGUUCUAUAGUGAAAGAUGGUUUUGCUAUCACUUAUAGAUGGACCCGCGCCGUAUUAGCUAGUUGGUAAGGUAAUGGCUUACCAAGGCGACGAUACGUAGCCGACCUGAGAGGGUGAUCGGCCACACUGGAACUGAGACACGGUCCAGACUCCUACGGGAGGCAGCAGUAGGGAAUCUUCCGCAAUGGGCGAAAGCCUGACGGAGCAACGCCGCGUGAGUGAUGAAGGUUUUCGGAUCGUAAAACUCUGUUAUUAGGGAAGAACAAAUGCGUAAGUAACUGUGCGCAUCUUGACGGUACCUAAUCAGAAAGCCACGGCUAACUACGUGCCAGCAGCCGCGGUAAUACGUAGGUGGCAAGCGUUAUCCGGAAUUAUUGGGCGUAAAGCGCGCGUAGGCGGUUUCUUAAGUCUGAUGUGAAAGCCCACGGCUCAACCGUGGAGGGCCAUUGGAAACUGGGAAACUUGAGUGCAGAAGAGGAAAGUGGAAUUCCAUGUGUAGCGGUGAAAUGCGCAGAGAUAUGGAGGAACACCAGUGGCGAAGGCGACUUUCUGGUCUGUAACUGACGCUGAUGUGCGAAAGCGUGGGGAUCAAACAGGAUUAGAUACCCUGGUAGUCCACACCGUAAACGAUGAGUGCUAUGUGUUAGGGGGUUUCCGCCCCUUAGUGCUGCAGCUAACGCAUUAAGCACUCCGCCUGGGGAGUACGACCGCAAGGUUGAAACUCAAA
Molecule: ribosomal RNA, 790 nt
Filed under: uncultured Staphylococcus sp.
Lineage: Bacteria; Bacillati; Bacillota; Bacilli; Caryophanales; Staphylococcaceae
Description: bacterial SSU rRNA
Rfam family: Bacterial small subunit ribosomal RNA
Source: RNAcentral